This 69-nucleotide transfer RNA is filed under the name Aquarana catesbeiana (American bullfrog). RNAcentral's name for it is "Rana catesbeiana (bullfrog) tRNA". It matches the Rfam family "tRNA". From Rfam's summary of the family: Transfer RNA (tRNA) molecules are approximately 80 nucleotides in length. Their secondary structure includes four short double-helical elements and three loops (D, anti-codon, and T loops). Further hydrogen bonds mediate the characteristic L-shaped molecular structure. tRNAs have two regions of fundamental functional importance: the anti-codon, which is responsible for specific mRNA codon recognition, and the 3' end, to which the tRNAs corresponding amino acid is attached (by aminoacyl-tRNA synthetases). tRNAs cope with the degeneracy of the genetic code in two manners: having more than one tRNA (with a specific anti-codon) for a particular amino acid; and 'wobble' base-pairing, i.e. permitting non-standard base-pairing at the 3rd anti-codon position. The record is from Rfam by way of RNAcentral. Lineage: Eukaryota; Metazoa; Chordata; Amphibia; Anura; Ranidae.
GUGGGUAUAGUUUAAUAAAAAUUCUAGAUUGUGAUUCUAGAGACAAAGGUUAAAUCCCUUUUACCCACC